UAAUUACUGUCCAUCCCUCUGUAGAGUCCGGAUGCCUUCCCCCAGAUCAUGGAGAAAACCUGAUGCCUAAUCAUUUGGUUCAGUAUCUGCCUACCCCACUCAACCAACACCUCACGAAGAAGCUAGGCACCAGUCACAUAGCAAGGCUGGAGCUCAGUCUUACCAGGAACUCUGGAAUGGAGAAGUGACUGUUGACUCCUGAUUUCCCUUUGGCAGAUGACCAGAUAGAAUCAGCAUUAACAACGUGCAGAAAAUGCCAAAUGCAGGGAAAAUGACAAAUGUGCCAGAUGAUUUAAUAUCGAGUAAAGAUAAAGGUUAACAGAGAUGAUCUUGUCUUCUUCAUUUGCAAAAUAAGUUAAAAGUGCUUUUUG
Molecule: long non-coding RNA, 371 nt
Filed under: Ictidomys tridecemlineatus (thirteen-lined ground squirrel)
Lineage: Eukaryota; Metazoa; Chordata; Mammalia; Rodentia; Sciuridae
Description: lncRNA (ENSSTOG00000029604.1)
Source: RNAcentral